This 397-nucleotide ribosomal RNA is filed under the name uncultured bacterium. RNAcentral describes it as "bacterial SSU rRNA". It matches the Rfam family "Bacterial small subunit ribosomal RNA", at positions 28 to 426 of the family's 1533-position model. The record is from RNAcentral.
GACGAACGCUGGCGGCGUGCUUAACACAUGCAAGUCGAGCGGUAAGGCCCUUUCGGGGGUACACGAGCGGCGAACGGGUGAGUAACACGUGGGUGACCUGCCCUCAGCUCUGGGAUAAGCCUGGGAAACUGGGUCUAAUACUGGAUAUGACUCCACGGUGCAUGUCGUGGGGUGGAAAGCCUUGUGCGGCUGAGGAUGGGCCCGCGGCCUAUCAGCUUGUUGGUGGGGUGAUGGCCUACCAAGGCGACGACGGGUAGCCGGCCUGAGAGGGCGACCGGCCACACUGGGACUGAGACACGGCCCAGACUCCUACGGGAGGCAGCAGUGGGGAAUAUUGGACAAUGGGCGCAAGCCUGAUCCAGCGAUGCCGCGUGUGUGAAGAAGGCCUGCGGGUUGU